Molecule: ribosomal RNA, 466 nt
Filed under: uncultured bacterium
Lineage: Bacteria
Description: partial 16S ribosomal RNA
Rfam family: Bacterial small subunit ribosomal RNA
Source: RNAcentral
CUACGGGACGCUCCAGUGGGGAAUAUUGCGCAAUGGGGGCAACCCUGACGCAGCAAUGCCGCGUGAGUGAUGAAGGCUCUAGGGUCGUAAAGCUCUGUCGAGAGGAACGAAAACUCGGUGGGAACAAUACCCCAUCGAUCUGACGGUACCUCCAAAGGAAGCACCGGCUAACUCCGUGCCAGCAGCCGCGGUAAUACGGAGGGUGCAAGCGUUGUUCGGAAUUACUGGGCGUAAAGGGCGUGUAGGCGGACAAAGUAGUCGGGUGUGAAAGCCCUCGGCUUAACCGAGGAAUGGCGCUCGAAACCAUUUGUCUUGAGAUCCAGAGGGGAUCGGGGAAUUCCCAGUGUAGAGGUGAAAUUCGUAGAUAUUGGGAAGAACACCGGUGGCGAAGGCGCCGAUCUGGAUGGAUUCUGACGCUGAGACGCGAAAGCGUGGGUAGCAAACAGGAUUAGAUACCCGCGUAGUC